RNAcentral lists this ribosomal RNA (254 nucleotides) under uncultured bacterium. Its description in RNAcentral is "partial 16S ribosomal RNA". It matches the Rfam family "Bacterial small subunit ribosomal RNA", at positions 524 to 777 of the family's 1533-position model. The record is from RNAcentral.
UACGUAGGGUGCAAGCGUUGUCCGGAAUUAUUGGGCGUAAAGAGCUCGUAGGCGGUUUGUCGCGUCUGCCGUGAAAGUCCGGGGCUCAACUCCGGAUCUGCGGUGGGUACGGGCAGACUAGAGUGAUGUAGGGGAGACUGGAAUUCCUGGUGUAGCGGUGAAAUGCGCAGAUAUCAGGAGGAACACCGAUGGCGAAGGCAGGUCUCUGGGCAUUAACUGACGCUGAGGAGCGAAAGCAUGGGGAGCGAACAGGA